This 1000-nucleotide ribosomal RNA is filed under the name Eudoraea sp. RNAcentral describes it as "bacterial SSU rRNA". It matches the Rfam family "Bacterial small subunit ribosomal RNA", at positions 55 to 1049 of the family's 1533-position model. The record is from RNAcentral. Lineage: Bacteria; Pseudomonadati; Bacteroidota; Flavobacteriia; Flavobacteriales; Flavobacteriaceae.
AUGCAAGUCGGACGGUAACAGGGAUUGCUUGCAAUCCGCUGACGAGUGGCGCACGGGUGCGCAACGCGUAUAGAACCUACCCUUUACAGGGGGAUAGCCCAGAGAAAUUUGGAUUAAUACCCCGUAGUACCUAUUAGAGGCAUUUCUAAUAGGUUAUAGUUUUCGAACGGUAAAGGAUGGCUAUGCGUCUUAUUAGCUAGUAGGUAAGGUAACGGCUUACCUAGGCUACGAUAAGUAGGGGCCCUGAGAGGGGGAUCCCCCACACUGGUACUGAGACACGGACCAGACUCCUACGGGAGGCAGCAGUGAGGAAUAUUGGACAAUGGGCGGAAGCCUGAUCCAGCCAUGCCGCGUGCAGGAAGACGGCCCUAUGGGUUGUAAACUGCUUUUAUACGGGAAGAAUAAGGGAUACGUGUAUCCUGGUGACGGUACCGUAAGAAUAAGGACCGGCUAACUCCGUGCCAGCAGCCGCGGUAAUACGGAGGGUCCGAGCGUUAUCCGGAAUUAUUGGGUUUAAAGGGUCCGCAGGCGGGCAAUUAAGUCAGAGGUGAAAUGGUGCGGCUCAACCGUAGCACUGCCUUUGAUACUGGUUGUCUUGAGUCAUGGUGGAGUGGCCGGAAUAUGUAGUGUAGCGGUGAAAUGCAUAGAUAUUACAUAGAACACCGAUCGCGAAGGCAGGUCACUAACCAUGUACUGACGCUGAUGGACGAAAGCGUGGGGAGCGAACGGGAUUAGAUACCCCGGUAGUCCACGCCGUAAACGAUGGAUACUAGCUGUCCGCUGCCUUGAGCAGUGGGCGGCCAAGCGAAAGUGAUAAGUAUCCCACCUGGGGAGUACGUUCGCAAGAAUGAAACUCAAAGGAAUUGACGGGGGCCCGCACAAGCGGUGGAGCAUGUGGUUUAAUUCGAUGAUACGCGAGGAACCUUACCAGGGCUUAAAUGCAGAAUGACAGGUUUAGAGAUAGACUUUUCUUCGGACAUUUUGCAAGGUGCUGCAUGGU